GCUGGCGGCGUGCUUAACACAUGCAAGUCGAACGCGCAGCAGUUUGUAGCAAUACAGAUUGUGGGCGCGUGGCGAACGGGUGCGUAACACGUGGAUAACCUUCCUUCAGGUGGGGAAUAACCCAGUGAAAAUUGGGCUAAUACCGCAUAACAUGACGAUGGCUCAUGCCGUUGUCUUCAAAGGCGCAAGUCGCCAGAAGAGGGAUCCGCGGCCGAUUAGCUAGUUGGCGAGGUAAUGGCUCACCAAGGCAUUGAUCGGUAGCCGGACUGAGAGGUUGGCCGGCCACACUGGAACUGAGACACGGUCCAGACUCCUACGGGAGGCAGCAGUGGGGAAUCUUGCACAAUGGACGAAAGUCUGAUGCAGCAACGCCGCGUGGGGGAUGAAGCUUUUCGGAGUGUAAACCCCUUUCGACCCGGAAGAAAGCCCGCAAGGGUUUGACGGUACGGGUAUAAGAAGCCCCGGCUAACUACGUGCCAGCAGCCGCGGUAAAACGUAGGGGGCCAGCGUUGCUCGGAAUUACUGGGCGUAAAGGGUCCGUAGGCGGUGUGGCAAGUUGGUAGUGAAAUCUCUGGGCUUAACCCAGAGGCUGCUGCCAAAACUGCCGUGCUA
This 612-nucleotide ribosomal RNA is filed under the name uncultured soil bacterium. Its description in RNAcentral is "bacterial SSU rRNA". It matches the Rfam family "Bacterial small subunit ribosomal RNA", at positions 35 to 643 of the family's 1533-position model. The record is from RNAcentral.